GAGAAGGAUAGGGUACGCUGGGUGUCGGAGGUUUCCGAGGAUUCUGCUGAGCCUUUUCUCCAUGGAUAUCCGGAGGUUCGAAAGCUUCGUAAUACGUUUUGGUUUUAUCCUUCGUAAUACGUUUUGGUUUUGAAGUUGUUAUUUUGUGCGCAGGUUGUGAGGUCUGCUCCGUUGGGAGAUCUUCCUUCGAACUUUGUCGAAGGGAGUUACGUUACCCCGGUGACGUUCAAGCGUGGAGAUCUGUAUGCGAGGGGUUAUCUAGUUGACUGGUGGCGCCAUAAGUAUCCUACGCGUAGUAUUGAUGACUUAGUUGAUUUCCUUGUUCGUGAUUACUGCGAUGAUCUUAGGCUUUUUCCAGAUUCGUAUGUUAGAAUUGUGCGAGGGUCCUAGAACCUUCGACGUUUUACGAUUGGAGGAUGUUUUUCGUUUUUUGUUGUAAGUUUCUGUUAUGUACAUUGUAUAUGGUUAAUAAAGAUCAGACAUUUUUACCACAUGGUCUCCGCACCUUUUAACUUUGGCAACCUUCGCGCUAUAAUUUGUACGUGACUCAUAGAUCCUUCGGUUGUUUAGUCGAUGGAGGAUUUGUAAGUUGAACUUGUACAAGCUACCUAUAACCUUCGACUUUUUAUGUGUCGAAGGAUGAUGUUAUUCUUUCCUUGUAAACGAUCUUUUGUAAUGAAUUCUAAGGAUCUCAUUUUGCUACAACCUUCGCGCUACAGCAUUU
This 724-nucleotide long non-coding RNA is filed under the name Sorghum bicolor (sorghum). RNAcentral's name for it is "long non-coding RNA (SBIC_LNC002374)". The record is from RNAcentral. Lineage: Eukaryota; Viridiplantae; Streptophyta; Magnoliopsida; Poales; Poaceae.